UGAAACUGCUGCCGGCUCAUUCAUUCACCAGCUCACUCUCAACACACAGACGAGACGACUGGGUUGAUGCGUGAAUGAUCCGGGAGCUGAUUUC
This 94-nucleotide microRNA precursor is filed under the name Picea abies (Norway spruce). RNAcentral describes it as "miR4414 stem-loop (pab-MIR4414)". The record is from miRBase by way of RNAcentral. Lineage: Eukaryota; Viridiplantae; Streptophyta; Pinopsida; Pinales; Pinaceae.